This 505-nucleotide ribosomal RNA is filed under the name uncultured bacterium. Its description in RNAcentral is "partial 16S ribosomal RNA". It matches the Rfam family "Bacterial small subunit ribosomal RNA", at positions 28 to 507 of the family's 1533-position model. The record is from RNAcentral.
GACGAACGCUGGCGGCGUGCCUAAUACAUGCAAGUAGAACGCACAGUUUAUACCGUAGCUUGCUACACCAUAGACUGUGAGUUGCGAACGGGUGAGUAACGCGUAGGUAACCUGCCUGGUAGCGGGGGAUAACUAUUGGAAACGAUAGCUAAUACCGCAUAAUAUUGAUUAUUGCAUGAUAAUUGAUUGAAAGAUGCUAUUGCAUCACUACCAGAUGGACCUGCGUUGUAUUAGCUAGUAGGUGAGGUAACGGCUCACCUAGGCGACGAUACAUAGCCGACCUUAUUUUGUUUGUUUUCAUGUGUGGACUGAGACACGGCCCAGACUCCUACGGGAGGCAGCAGUAGGGAAUCUUCGGCAAUGGACGAAAGUCUGACCGAGCAACGCCGCGUGAGUGAAGAAGGUUUUCGGAUCGUAAAGCUCUGUUGUAAGAGAAGAACGGGUGUGAGAGUGGAAAGUUCACACUGUGACGGUAUCUUACCAGAAAGGGACGGCUAACUACGUG